This 155-nucleotide unclassified non-coding RNA is filed under the name uncultured Cistella. RNAcentral's name for it is "sequence contains ITS1". Lineage: Eukaryota; Fungi; Ascomycota; Leotiomycetes; Helotiales; Hyaloscyphaceae. The record is from RNAcentral.
CUGAGUUCGUGCCCUAACGGGUAGAUCUCCACCCUUGAAUACAAACUCUUGUUGCUUUGGCGGGCCGCUUCGGCUACUGGCUUCGGCUGGUGAGUGCCCGCCAGAGAACCCUAAACUUUGAAUUACAGUGUCGUCUGAGUACUAUAUAAUAGUUA